AUACUUACCUGGCAGGGGAGAUGCCAAAGCAGUUGCCUUGCUUUCCCAGGGCAAGGCUUAUCCAUUGCACUUGGGAUGCGCUAACCCCUGCGAUUUCCCCAAAUGUGGGAAACUCGGCUGCAUAAUUUGUGGUAGUUUGCACUCGCCCCUGUUAU
RNAcentral lists this small nuclear RNA (155 nucleotides) under Myotis davidii. Its description in RNAcentral is "U1 spliceosomal RNA". It matches the Rfam family "U1 spliceosomal RNA". From Rfam's summary of the family: U1 is a small nuclear RNA (snRNA) component of the spliceosome (involved in pre-mRNA splicing). Its 5' end forms complementary base pairs with the 5' splice junction, thus defining the 5' donor site of an intron. There are significant differences in sequence and secondary structure between metazoan and yeast U1 snRNAs, the latter being much longer (568 nucleotides as compared to 164 nucleotides in human). The record is from Rfam by way of RNAcentral. Lineage: Eukaryota; Metazoa; Chordata; Mammalia; Chiroptera; Vespertilionidae.